UGAUGAUUUACAUUGAUGUUUCUUCUCCCAUGGAUCAUGCUGCCCUGCAUGUUUUCCAAGUGUUGCAAAUUUGGUUCGGUUCAAAUUCUUUUAUAGAUGCGAUACACAUUGUCGAAAUCAAAAAAAGUACAAAACAGAGUAUCAUAGAACAAGCAAGCACCCAGAAUUCUUGUUGCAGAUCAAACUGGUUUAGUGUUUCAGGAGUAUAGUAAUACAAGUUUCAUUAUUAGGUCAAACAAAGCAUCUAGUUAUGUUAUGUACAUAAAGACCCAAAAUAGAGCAUCUAGUCAGUAUAAUUGCAACA
This 304-nucleotide long non-coding RNA is filed under the name Sorghum bicolor (sorghum). RNAcentral's name for it is "long non-coding RNA (SBIC_LNC007288)". The record is from RNAcentral. Lineage: Eukaryota; Viridiplantae; Streptophyta; Magnoliopsida; Poales; Poaceae.